This 576-nucleotide long non-coding RNA is filed under the name Ursus maritimus (polar bear). Its description in RNAcentral is "lncRNA (ENSUMAG00000014062.1)". The record is from RNAcentral. Lineage: Eukaryota; Metazoa; Chordata; Mammalia; Carnivora; Ursidae.
GGCCUCUCUGUUUGAACUAGGUUUUUUUAACGCUUGCUCUGUCUGUAACAGAGUAUGUUUCCUUUUGCACGUGUGAUACGCCUCUGAUAAACCCUAUCUGGGUCAAGGCUAGGCCUUAUUUGCUUUGUAUUCUGACCAUAGCCCUUUACACGGAGUAGCUUCUCAUCAUUAUUGUUGAAAUAAAAAAGAGUAUUUUCUAAGAUGCUGCAUUGGGCAGAAUCGAGAAGCCUCGGCCAGCCCUGGUUUCCUCCUGAGGGUGAAGCAAACAAAUCUGUCUUUGUGUACAUGAAAUAUCUCUGGAAGAAACUGUUAACAAUUGCUCUGGGAAGGGAAACUGAGUGACUGCAGGGCAGGGAUGACACAGAAAUUUACUUUCCACAUUCAGUUCUCUCUCUGUAGCCUUUGAUUCUGUCCAGUAUAUCUGCUAUAGAUAAUUCAUAAAUUUAAGUAAUUGAACAUUUUAUUUAAAAUUAAGUCUCUCUUAUGUUUCAGUUCUGGAAAUUCAUUCUACCAUUGAUGGGCUUUUGGAUCGUUCCCAGUUUUUGGCGAUCACGAAUAAAGCUUCUGUGAAUAAUC